Molecule: ribosomal RNA, 207 nt
Filed under: uncultured bacterium
Lineage: Bacteria
Description: partial 16S ribosomal RNA
Rfam family: Bacterial small subunit ribosomal RNA
Source: RNAcentral
CGCGUAGGCGGGGAGGUAAGUCGGGUGUGAAAUCCCUCGGCCCAACCGAGGAACUGCGCCCGAGACUGCUUCUCUUGAGUCCCGGAGAGGAAGAUGGAAUUCCCGGUGUAGCGGUGAAAUGUGUAGAGAUCGGGAGGAACACCGGUGGCGAAGGCGGUCUUCUGGACGGUGACUGACGCUGAGGCGCGAAAGCGUGGGGAGCAAACA